Molecule: ribosomal RNA, 556 nt
Filed under: uncultured Glomus
Lineage: Eukaryota; Fungi; Glomeromycota; Glomeromycetes; Glomerales; Glomeraceae
Description: SSU rRNA
Rfam family: Eukaryotic small subunit ribosomal RNA
Source: RNAcentral
UUGGAGGGCAAGUCUGGUGCCAGCAGCCGCGGUAAUUCCAGCUCCAAUAGCGUAUAUUAAAGUUGUUGCAGUUAAAAGGCUCGUAGUUGAACUUCGGGGUUCACCCAUUGGUCAGGCUUAAUUGUCUGUACUGGUGAGAUGAAUCUCUACCUUCUGAGGAACUUUCAUGCCAUUUAUUUGGUGUGAUUGGAAAUCAGGACUGUUACUUUGAAAAAAUUAGAGUGUUUAAAGCAGGCUAACGUCUGAAUACAUUAGCAUGGAAUAAUGAAAUAGGACGGAUUGAUUCUAUUUCGUUGGUUUCUAGGAUCACCGUAAUGAUUAAUAGGGAUAGUUGGGGGCAUUAGUAUUCAAUUGUCAGAGGUGAAAUUCUUGGAUUUAUUGAAGACUAACUACUGCGAAAGCAUUUGCCAAGGAUGUUUUCAUUAAUCAAGAACGAAAGUUAGGGGAUCGAAGACGAUCAGAUACCGUCGUAGUCUUAACCAUAAACUAUGCCGACUAGGGAUCGGACGCAGUUAAUUUUAUAAUGACGUGUUCGGCACCUUACGGGAAACCAAAG